Molecule: long non-coding RNA, 337 nt
Filed under: Ananas comosus (pineapple)
Lineage: Eukaryota; Viridiplantae; Streptophyta; Magnoliopsida; Poales; Bromeliaceae
Description: long non-coding RNA (ACOM_LNC028732)
Source: RNAcentral
UUUUUUUUUUUUUUUGAGGAUAAGGUAGUAUGCUACCAACUUCAUUCAUUGGACAGAUGAAUUAGGCUACAGAAGUGAGGCAACUGGGCCUCGAUUCGGAUGAAAAAAAAAAAUACCGAUUAGCCGACAAAAAUUGGUCCCAAAAAAUCGACAACUGUUUAACCUUACGGACUACUCUCAGCGGUUCCAGCUAAAUCUUUCUGAAGAUCACAUCGUUCUUGCUCUCUGAGAUGAUCCACCAACAAGCCGCUAGUUCCGGAAGCCUGUUACUCGUAUAUUGUGGGCUCUUUCUACCCGCCCAUGUAUCCCAUAUCCCUUGAACGCCGUCUCCCAACUC